This 401-nucleotide ribosomal RNA is filed under the name uncultured bacterium. RNAcentral describes it as "partial 16S ribosomal RNA". It matches the Rfam family "Archaeal small subunit ribosomal RNA", at positions 473 to 873 of the family's 1478-position model. The record is from RNAcentral.
ACACCGGCGGCCCGAGUGGUGAUCGUGAUUAUUGGGUCUAAAGGGUCCGUAGCCGGUUUGGUCAGUCCUCCGGGAAAUCUGAUAGCUCAACUAUUAGGCUUUCGGGGGAUACUGCCAGACUUGGAACCGGGAGAGGUAAGAGGUACUACAGGGGUAGGAGUGAAAUCUUGUAAUCCCUGUGGGACCACCUGUGGCGAAGGCGUCUUCCCAGAACGGGUUCGACGGUGAGGGACGAAAGCUGGGGGCGCUACCCGGAUUAGAUACCCGGGUAGUCCCAGACGUAAACGAUGCUCGCUAGUUGUCAGGCAUGGCGCGACCGUGUCUGGUGCCGCAGGGAAGCCGUGAAGCGAGCCACCUGGGAAGUACGGCCGCAAGGCUGAAACUUAAAGGAAUUGGCGGGG